RNAcentral lists this ribosomal RNA (253 nucleotides) under uncultured bacterium. RNAcentral describes it as "partial 16S ribosomal RNA". It matches the Rfam family "Bacterial small subunit ribosomal RNA", at positions 524 to 776 of the family's 1533-position model. The record is from RNAcentral.
UACGUAGGGUGCGAGCGUUAAUCGGAAUUACUGGGCGUAAAGCGUGCGCAGGCCGUUUCGUAAGACAGAUGUGAAAUCCCCGGGCUCAACCUGGGAACUGCAUUUGUGACUGCGAGACUAGAGUGUAGCAGAGGGGGGUAGAAUUCCACGUGUAGCAGUGAAAUGCGUAGAGAUGUGGAGGAAUACCAAUGGCGAAGGCAGCCCCCUGGGUUAAUACUGACGCUCAUGCACGAAAGCGUGGGGAGCAAACAGG